Molecule: long non-coding RNA, 771 nt
Organism: Hevea brasiliensis (rubber tree)
Lineage: Eukaryota; Viridiplantae; Streptophyta; Magnoliopsida; Malpighiales; Euphorbiaceae
Exons: 2
Source: RefSeq, a predicted model, not a curated record
GUUGAGUUGAGUAUACCAUUUUGCUAAGUGUUUUAAAAUAGAAAAACAGGCUUCUACAGCUAAUGAAAAUCAACGAAAGUGGUUUUUACAGAAUAAAAUUGAUACCAAAAAAGCAUGCAGAUUUUCUUGUCUUCCCCUUUCUUCGUUUUGGCAUUUUCUUGUUUUUAUUAAUCUGAGUCAUCUUCUUUUGUCUUUGCCUUGCAAUCAAUUGCAGAUUACUGUGCUACUAACUUACCAUGGUAGUUUUUGGGAUAAACCAGGAUGGUCAUAGUUAUCUGAUUUCAUGCACCUAACUUGGAUCGGUCAAUUUUCUUGUCUGCAGCACUUAUAAGGAUGAAUGUGUUCCUGUGGUCCAAGAUUUUAGUAUAUCGGAUGACAUAUUGAGACGUAUAUCUUGGGUUGAUGUUGAAAAGAAGCCUUGUGCAAAGAGGGUAAGCCUUCAAAUGCAGAAUUUUACCAAGGUUUUCGGGCCAGGUGUUGCAGGAAUUACAACAAUCAUGUUAAAUUUGUCAGUGGUGAAACAUUUAUCAUCUGGUAAUUGUUGACUCCAAAUUCAUCAAUCAUCAUGAACCAACUGGUCAAGAAUUCCCACUAAUUGGUGCUAUUAUUUUAUAGCCCAAGCAUCAAACAUGGUGGGGAUUUUGGGACCAAAAUAUCUUGGAAAAGGGGGGGAAAUUUAUGUCAAAUUCUUUGUUGCAAGGUGUCUGUAUAUUUGAUAGGAGAUUGGCACAUUUUUGUUUUCUUGAAAAUUACAGAGACAUAAUUAUUGAA